UGCCUAUACUCUCAAUCUAUAUCAGAUAA
Molecule: non-coding RNA, 29 nt
Filed under: Mus musculus (house mouse)
Lineage: Eukaryota; Metazoa; Chordata; Mammalia; Rodentia; Muridae
Source: RNAcentral